GCUGGCGGUAUGCUUAACACAUGCAAGUCGAACGAGAAGGAAGAGCUUGCUCUUCCUGAAAGUGGCGAACGGGUGAGUAACGCGUGGGUAACCUACCCUUUGGAAAGGAAUAGCCUCGGGAAACUGGGAGUAAUGCCUUAUAAGAUACGUUUGUCGCACGGCAUUUGUAUUAAACGCUCCGGCGCCAUAGGAUGGACCCGCGUCCCAUUAGCUAGUUGGUGAGAUAACAGCUCACCAAGGCCACGAUGGGUAACCGGUCUGAGAGGGCGAACGGUCACACUGGAACUGAGACACGGUCCAGACUCCUACGGGAGGCAGCAGUGGGGAAUAUUGCGCAAUGGGGGCAACCCUGACGCAGCAAUACCGCGUGAGUGAAGAAGGUUUUCGGAUCGUAAAGCUCUGUUAUUGGGGAAGAAAAAAAGACGGUACCCAAGAAGAAAGUUCCGGCUAACUACGUGCCAGCAGCCGCGGUAAUACGUAGGGAACAAGCGUUGUCCGGAUUUACUGGGCGUAAAGGGCACGCAGGCGGUUUUUUAAGUCAGAUGUGAAAGGCCACAGCUCAACUGUGGACAUGCAUUUGAAACUGAAAGACUUGAGUAUUGGAGAGGCAAGUGGAAUUCCUAGUGUAGCGGUGAAAUGCGUAGAUAUUAGGAGGAACACCGGUGGCGAAGGCGGCUUGCUGGACAAAUACUGACGCUGA
RNAcentral lists this ribosomal RNA (700 nucleotides) under uncultured bacterium. RNAcentral's name for it is "bacterial SSU rRNA". It matches the Rfam family "Bacterial small subunit ribosomal RNA", at positions 35 to 749 of the family's 1533-position model. The record is from RNAcentral.